RNAcentral lists this ribosomal RNA (274 nucleotides) under uncultured bacterium. Its description in RNAcentral is "partial 16S ribosomal RNA". It matches the Rfam family "Bacterial small subunit ribosomal RNA", at positions 523 to 796 of the family's 1533-position model. The record is from RNAcentral.
AUACGGAGGGUGCAAGCGUUAUUCGGAAUCACUGGGCGUAAAGGACGCGUAGGCGGGUUGGCAAGUCAGAUGUGAAAUCCUACAGCUUAACUGUAGAACUGCAUUUGAAACUGCUAACCUAGAGUAUGGGAGGGGGAAAUGGAAUUAGUGGUGUAGGGGUAAAAUCCGUAGAUAUCACUAGGAAUACCGAAAGCGAAGGCGAUCUCCUGGAACAUAACUGACGCUAAGGCGUGAAAGCGUGGGGAGCAAACAGGAUUAGAAACCCUAGUAGUCC